This is a long non-coding RNA of Fukomys damarensis (Damara mole-rat), 2195 nucleotides long. RefSeq lists it as uncharacterized. The transcript is spliced from 4 exons. The record is from RefSeq and is a predicted model, not a curated record. NCBI's taxonomy places the organism in Eukaryota, Metazoa, Chordata, Mammalia, Rodentia, Bathyergidae.
ACCGGCCCGUGGGAAAGCUGCUCGGAGGCGUGGGGCGCGCUGCUGACUGGUACGGGGGCGAGCGGACCGGCUGCUUCGUGGCGACCUCACUCGGGGAGAAAGCCCGCAUGGAGCCAGGACCUUGGGAUCCGGUCGCUUCCAGGCCUUGGGCUGCCCCACUGCUAAGGUGCCGCUGUUCGUUUUACAGUGAGCAGUGAUCUGGGGGAAGAUGCAGGAGGCGACUUAAAUAGCAUUUCCCAAUGAAGCUGUGCCAGUGGUAUAGCAUCCCGUCAAUGCGGCCCUGUGGUGGCUGCCAAAGGGGGCGGUACCAGGGAUCGAACUCAGGACCUUGAGCUUGUGAAGCAGGCAGCAGAACCACUGAGCUAAAUCCCCGGCCCUCCGCCACUCUUUUAAGUUCUAUAAAAUAGACUUCUAUGCACCUUGAAGACUACAAAUAUGCACUCAUAAAAGCCUGAUUCUCUUACUUUUUCCCAGUCCUAGGGAUCCCAAUUCCCCACUUCUGAUGGCACAGCGCACUGUGUAGCAGACUGUUGGCAGACUGGGUGCUGUUAACCUGUGGCGUCUGCAAGCACACGGCUGCACACACUCAGACUGGGCCCCCGCGGUGCACAGGGUGGGUCCAGGCAUGCGUGCACUUGGGCUGCUGUGACUGGUACUGCUAAGGUGCUGUGUAAAGGGCUGAAGGAAGCUGUCAUCCUACCAGUUCAGUCUGCCUCGCCAACAGAGGUGCGGCUGCACUUCUCUGCGCCAGGGACUCGUGAAUUUGUGCUCAGCCCUGCCACCUUUCCGAACAGAGCCCCUUCCUGCACAGCGGCUGCCCAGCAGGGGCCACACAGCUGAGCAUAGGGGCUCAGGAGAAGCACAUGCUCCGUUAGGGGCGUCAGCUCCGUCGUCCUCAGUGAAGUCAGGGAGAAGCCAGACACUAUGCUGAACCACAAUCUAAACAAGAAGCAAAUUUAGAAAUCAAAUCUGAUCUCCUUCGGGAGAGGGGCGGUUAUUUUUAAAGUGGAGUCUUACAGAGGAAAUGACAGCAGAAGACUACACAUCGGUUCAGCUGAGAAAGACGGGAGUAGCCUUGAUAAGAGUGGAACUGCUUUUGUCAACUGGGGCCCUGCCCAUUAUUUCAAUGAACAAUUUCAUUGUGCUACUUCCUUUGCAGAGGGUGCACUUUUAAAGUUACACGUAGAAGGGCUGGGGAUUUAGCUCAGUGGUUCCGCCUGCCUCACAAGUGCAAGGACCCGAGUCCAAUCCCUGGGACCCCCAAAAUAAAUAAAAUAAAGUUACACUUAGGUAGUUAUACUAGCAGCUUCAUCACAGUACCUACUGUGUGAAGAUAUCUACGGGGAAAGACAGAAAGGGAGAGAAAGUAGGAGCUUUCUGAGUGGACACGUGGACGGGAACAGAGGCUUGCUUGGAAGAGAAUGGCCCACUUCACUUCUGCGUGGAGCCACUCCCUGUCCAGCUGGCAAUAAUUGCUCAUUUUGUGUUUCCAAAAUAAAAUAAAGCCUUGGCUUAUGCUUCUGUUAAAAAAUAAAAUAAAAAGUUGUACUGGUAACCAAGAACACAGACAACUUGAACAAGCGUGGGGCCUGAUAAGAGAAAAAUUCUGAGGUGCACUUAAGGCUGAUUACAGGGAUAGAAGGAAAGAGAGAUUUAGUUAACGGCACAGAGGCUGUAUGCUGUUCCUCAAUGUGUGCUAAACCUGCUUCCCACCCCACCGCCCCAGUGCAGGAACUCCUGGACUGCCCGCCCACACCCAAUUCACUAGCAUUUCUCUACCCUCCUUAUCCAGCCGGUGUGCGUUCUGUGUAAACAAUGGAGGUUUUCCUUCCUCAAAUUUUCUCUAGAAAAAUACUCGAGUCAGCAAUGGCAACGUGACCUGUAGUGCCAGCUACUCAGGAGGCUGAAGCAGGAGGAGCACUUGGGCUCAGAAUUUCGAGACUUUAGCCAUACAAAUGCCUCCAGCCUGGCAGAAGUUCGGUUGACCCCUCCUCCCCAAGAAAGAGCCAAUUUUGCAUUUAUUAAGCAAAUCAUCUCAGCGUUCCUGAUGGCCUGCAUUUACUUCUGACUUUUGGAUUCAUCUCUGAACCAUCUGUGCAUCUUAUACACACCCUAAUUAACAGGUUAAAGUCUACUUUUUUGUUGUUGUUUAUUGAGUCAGGGUCUCACUAUGUACUUGAGAGUGACCUGAAACU